GCUCCCGUAGCACAGUCGGUUAGAGCGUCGUACUUAUAAUGCGAAGGUCGGGGGUUCGAGCCCCCCCGGGAGCA
This 74-nucleotide transfer RNA is filed under the name Pocillopora damicornis (cauliflower coral). Its description in RNAcentral is "tRNA-Ile". It matches the Rfam family "tRNA". Rfam says of the family: Transfer RNA (tRNA) molecules are approximately 80 nucleotides in length. Their secondary structure includes four short double-helical elements and three loops (D, anti-codon, and T loops). Further hydrogen bonds mediate the characteristic L-shaped molecular structure. tRNAs have two regions of fundamental functional importance: the anti-codon, which is responsible for specific mRNA codon recognition, and the 3' end, to which the tRNAs corresponding amino acid is attached (by aminoacyl-tRNA synthetases). tRNAs cope with the degeneracy of the genetic code in two manners: having more than one tRNA (with a specific anti-codon) for a particular amino acid; and 'wobble' base-pairing, i.e. permitting non-standard base-pairing at the 3rd anti-codon position. RNAcentral also lists the same sequence under 2 other names. Lineage: Eukaryota; Metazoa; Cnidaria; Anthozoa; Scleractinia; Pocilloporidae. The record is from RNAcentral.